This 430-nucleotide ribosomal RNA is filed under the name Verrucomicrobiota bacterium. RNAcentral describes it as "Verrucomicrobia bacterium partial 16S ribosomal RNA". It matches the Rfam family "Bacterial small subunit ribosomal RNA", at positions 355 to 776 of the family's 1533-position model. The record is from RNAcentral. Lineage: Bacteria; Pseudomonadati; Verrucomicrobiota.
UAGGGAAUCUUCGGCAAUGGACGGAAGUCUGACCGAGCAACGCCGCGUGAGUGAAGAAGGUUUUCGGAUCGUAAAGCUCUGUUGUAAGAGAAGAACGAGUGUGAGAGUGGAAAGUUCACACUGUGACGGUAUCUUACCAGAAAGGGACGGCUAACUACGUGCCAGCAGCCGCGGUAAUACGUAGGUCCCGAGCGUUGUCCGGGAUUAUUGGGCGUAAAGCGCGCGCAGGUGGUUUAGAAAGUCUGAUGUGAAAGCCCACGGCUCAACCGUGGAGGGUCAUUGGAAACUAAUAAACUUGAGUGCAGGAGAGAAAAGUGGAAUUCCUAGGGUAGCGGUGAAAUGCGUAGAGAUUAGGAGGAACACCGGUGGCGAAAGCGGCUUUUUGGCCUGCAACUGACACUGAGGCGCGAAAGCGUGGGGAGCAAACAGG